RNAcentral lists this unclassified non-coding RNA (261 nucleotides) under plant metagenome. RNAcentral's name for it is "partial contains small subunit ribosomal RNA, internal transcribed spacer 1, and 5.8S ribosomal RNA". The stretch from base 213 to 261 matches the Rfam family "5.8S ribosomal RNA", at positions 1 to 49 of the family's 154-position model. The record is from RNAcentral.
UUUCCGUAGGUGAACCUGCGUAAGGAUCAUUAAAGAGUAAUGGUCUUCGGGCCCGUUCUCCAACCCUUUGUUUAACUACCAUGUUGCUUUGGCGGGCCCGUCUCACGACCGCCGGAAGUUUGGCUUCGACCAAACUUCUGGCCCGUGCCCGUCAGUGGCCCCUUCAAAUUCUUGAUAAAGUAUGAUGUCUUAGUUAAAAACUUAAUAGUUAAAACUUUCAACAACGGAUCUCUUGGUUCUGGAAUCGAUGAAGAACGCAGC